Molecule: ribosomal RNA, 520 nt
Filed under: uncultured Glomus
Lineage: Eukaryota; Fungi; Glomeromycota; Glomeromycetes; Glomerales; Glomeraceae
Description: SSU rRNA
Rfam family: Eukaryotic small subunit ribosomal RNA
Source: RNAcentral
AGCAGCCGCGGUAAUUCCAGCUCCAAUAGCGUAUAUUAAAGUUGUUGCAGUUAAAAAGCUCGUAGUUGAAUUUCGGGAUCAAUACGUCGGUCGUGCUUCGGUACGUACUGGCGUUAUUGAUUUCUCCCUUCUGACGAACCAUGAUGUCAUUAACUUGGUGUCUUGGGAAAUCAGGACUGUUACUUUGAAAAAAAUUAGAGUGUUUAAAGCAGGCUCACGCUUGAAUACAUUAGCAUGGAAUAAUGAAAUAGGACGUUUGACCCUAUUUUGUUGGUUUCUAGGAUCGACGUAAUGAUUAAUAGGGAUAGUUGGGGGCAUUAGUAUUCAAUUGUCAGAGGUGAAAUUCUUGGAUUUAUUGAAGACUAACUACUGCGAAAGCAUUUGCCAAGGAUGUUUUCAUUAAUCAAGAACGAAAGUUAGGGGAUCGAAGACGAUCAGAUACCGUCGUAGUCUUAACCAUAAACUAUGCCGACUAGGGAUCAGACGAUGUUAAUUUUUUAAUGACUCGUUUGGCGCCUUA